GCGUGCGUGCGUGUGCGUGUGGUGUGUGUGUGUGUGUGUGCAGAGCUGCUGGGUGAGGGAGGGUUUGUGUGUUGCUGCUGUCAUCUGACACUGAUCUGUUGGCUCUCAUCUGUUCUGCUCGGUGCAGGUACAGUAGGCUCCAGGACAGAGGGCUUCUGUUCACCACCAGGGUUUAAUAGAGCAGUGAAAGCACAGAGACGGUCCCCGGUGCUGCUGACAACAGAACAGGGUCCAUGUCAGUCACUCCAAAAAGGAUCCAGAGCCUCCUGCCCGCUCUUCACCAGCUGUGCAUCACGCACACACCACCAGUCUGGCAGCGAAGGGUGAGACAUGAGGACGAGCACGGCGGCUGCACGGGGGGCUACUUCACGCAGCAGCACCCGCUCAGGUCACAGCUCACGCUGCCUGGAGAGCGGCGAGGGCUGCCCCUCGUCUGCAGCCUCGCCCAGAGCCACAGGGACAUAAAGGCCUGACAGGUGUCAAACGCCAAGCGGUGGCGAAGGAUCAGCGACACCUCAGAGGAUCAGUCACAGCACAGAGCGGCCUCUGGUCCUGUUCAGCUUCUCUAUAACAAACCUCAACCCUUCUCAGGUGACUGAAUGUGUUAAUAUGUCACUGUUCACUAAGAGACCACCAACUCCAACAAACUUCCCCAAAGCACAACACUUUAUUGAUGCUUGUACACGCCUUCAUCAUCACAUCAUUGGUGCACUUGUUAACGUGCUGAAACACACAAUUAGGCAUAGCAAUACUCCUCCAAAACCUCUUGUGGUUUUGAACACCUACGCCUGAAUAGGAGCACAAAGCAAAUGUGAUAAAAUUGUUCUUCGUAUAUGACAAUACUUGUAAGUGUCAUGAUCUGGGUGUUUGUUUCUUGUUUUAUUUUGAAGGACUUUUGUGUUUCACCUUAGUUGUCAGGUUUAGUUUUGGUUUCCUGUUUUAUUUUGUAAGUACUUCCGUUUCUGGUCAUACCACAUCAGUUUCAGCUUUACUCCCGGUCCUCAUUACACACACCUGUUUCAGAUCAGUAAUCAGCCACCUGUACUUAAGCACCACCUUUAACCAUGUUACCUUGCCAGAUUGUCGUUUGUGAAUACCAGUCGCCACCUUCCAGCAAUUGUCUCCGUCCUGAUUACCUUGUUACCUGAUUACCUUUUGUUGAUUCUGUUUUCCUGACCACUGACUCCUGCCUACUCCCUGCCGGUACCGUAAUCUUGUUGAUUCUGUUAACGAACCAUUGCCUGCUCCUGGACCCGACCCCGCCUGCUCCCCUGUACCUGCAAUACUGAGAUUCUCUGUGAACGACCUGGACCGCCUUGUACCACGAUAUCUGGAUUAAACUUCGUUUAUUAUCACCAAUCCGUCUCCUCGCACUGCGCAUGUGGGUCCGCUCUCUGCCGCAUCCUGACAGUAAGCAUGUGGUUAGAAGUCUGUGCAACUGUCAAUGUGGUUAUACAGUAAGGCACAGCAAAUGCAAACCAUAAAUGGAAAAUGUAAAAAAAGUUAAAUGAUACAUAAAAAGAUAAAUGAAUAUAAAUGAAAUGAAUAUAAAUGAUUAUAUGGGUUAAAUGGUAUAUGUUAUUAUAUGUAAAAGAUAAUAAAUAAACAACAAAGAUAAAUGAGAUUAAUAAUAGAUUAAAAUAUAUUUUCUCCAA
This is a long non-coding RNA of Betta splendens (Siamese fighting fish), 1655 nucleotides long. RefSeq lists it as uncharacterized. The record is from RefSeq and is a predicted model, not a curated record. NCBI's taxonomy places the organism in Eukaryota, Metazoa, Chordata, Actinopteri, Anabantiformes, Osphronemidae. The transcript is spliced from 2 exons.